RNAcentral lists this ribosomal RNA (326 nucleotides) under uncultured Bacteroidota bacterium. RNAcentral describes it as "bacterial SSU rRNA". It matches the Rfam family "Bacterial small subunit ribosomal RNA", at positions 28 to 351 of the family's 1533-position model. Lineage: Bacteria; Pseudomonadati; Bacteroidota. The record is from RNAcentral.
GAUGAACGCUAGCGGCAGGCUUAAUACAUGCAAGUCGAACGGCAGCACGGGUAGCAAUAUCUGGUGGCGAGUGGCGCACGGGUGCGUAACGCGUAUGCAACUUACCCUUAACUGGGGAAUAGCCCCGAGAAAUCGGGAUUAAUACCCCAUAACAUCAUGAAGUGGCAUCAUUUUAUGAUCAAAGCUCCGACGGUUAAGGAUGGGCAUGCGUGGCAUUAGCUAGUUGGUGAGGUAACGGCUCACCAAGGCUACGAUGCCUAGGGGUUCUGAGAGGACAUUCCCCCACACUGGUACUGAGACACGGACCAGACUCCUACGGGAGGCUG